CCACAGAGGUGGGUGGGAUUUCUGAGCUGACCGAAGCCUGCGACUGGUGGAGCUUUGGGUCUCUGCUGUAUGAACUGCUGACGGGAACGCUGCACCCUUCUGGAGCACAGAGAGGUCCUACCUUCUUCCCUCACCACAGCCCUGCCUUGGCCCUGGCAGUAGGACGCCAUGUCAAAUGAGUCGCAAAUUUUUUUUCUGUAAGGAGACAAGUUUCAGUGCUAUUCCUGAUAGAGUGCCUGCCCUGACUGCAACCCAAGACCGAUGUUUCCAGCAAGCUUGGAGCCAGAGGGACCUGGGUUCAAACCCUGAACUCAGCACAAAUCCCUUGACCUCUCUGAGCCUGCUUCUUGUCUUUAAAAUGGGGGUAGUAAUACUUACUCUGAAGGUUGUUGUGGAAAUUACGGAUAAUGGGUCUCAGGCAUCUUCCGCAGCCUGACAUGCAGUAGAUCCAAAGCAAGAGGCAACAAGCAGCAGCAUCACCAUCCCCAUGAGAUGUGACACAGGGGGAAAAAGAUAAAACCUGGCCGCCACUGGAGUGUACAGACCCUCCUGGGGUCGCCCCCAUGUGUCUUCCCAGGCGCUGUCCCAGAGCCACCCCUCAGGAAUCCAACCCCACACCCAGCUCCAGCUGCCCGAGUGGCUCAGUCGCCCCGCAGCCUCCCUGCUGACUGAGCUGCUGAAGUUUGAGCCCGCCGGGCGCCUGGGCGCUGGAGGCGGCGGUGUCAACAAACUCAAGUCCCACCCCUUUUUCAGCACCAUCCAGUGGAGCAAACUGGUGGGGUAACCGGAGGGGGUGGAGUAGGCAGUGGAAGCAGCUGGACUGGUCUGGAUCUCCUCUCUUCUCUUUGCCUGCCACCCAGAGCUGGCCAUUCUAAUCAGCGGCCCUCGGGCAAAGAAUGAAAGGCAGCUUGCCUUUCCUGGUCGGGCCCCUCCCUUGGGCCUCAGAAGUCUCUUCACUGACCAGGAAGGGCCUACGGAGUCCCCCAGCCACGUCCUGGAGAAACCCUUCCUAGAUGGUGCUGAGCGGGAGGGAGAGAGAGAUCUCAGCCUGUUAGGCAGCUUGAACCCCUCCACCCAUCAGUCAACAGUCACCUGCUGAGUGCACACCCUGGACUUGAACUUGGACCUACCAUGUUAAAAGGUGCCUUCCUUUGCAUUAGCUCUGAGCUACUGACCACCUGCUGAGCCGUGAAAUUUUGUGACUCAUUAUCUGCCAUGUGCCCCACUCGGGAUGUCUCUGGAGACUCACCUCAGGAUACUAGUCCACCGGCUUAGUGGUCCCAAACCAGGGCUGCCCUGGCUGGUCAUCUUAACCAUGCAACUAGUGGGCCUCUUCCACCAGAGGCUACUUUUGCAGGGGGUCGGGAGGCUGGGGAAGCAGGGAAGAAGUCUGUAGUGGGCAUGGGGUGGGGUGAGGGAAUGGGACGAGACAACCCAUUCCCCCCUCCUGACCAUGCCCCUUAUCUUGUGAUUACAGACUUUGGAGAGCAAAAGGAAAGGAGGGGAGGAAGAUAAGGAUAAAGAGGAAUGGGGGGAGAGAGGAAGGCACAGCUCUGCCACUUAGAGAAAUUUUGGAAACAAAGAGCUCCCUUCCCCGGCUAGCCCACCCAUGUGGAGAGAAAGGAAAACCUGCCCCAUGGGUCUGAGGGGAGAUCGCCAAUCAGUUUCCAGGCUGAAGCCACUUGAAGAAAAGUUGUACCCACUAGGACUCCCUUCUCGGACGUUCGUCCUGUUUACCAUUUUGCAUUUUAGUCUUGAGGGUCCACUCAAUCCACUGCCCACUGUGACUUCAUAUCCUUUUGAAAUGAAACCACAAAACACAUGGAAUGAUGGCCCAAGCUUUUAGCCGGAAGCAAAAUGUUUCUGGUCUCGGAAGAACUGGGGUAAGUAGUUAUCCCCAAAGACAAUUCCCUCCCCAGAUUUGGGGGCCUUCUUCCUCUCAGGACUCACCCUGUCACUGGGGUGUGGCAUCUAAGACAAACUUCCACAGAUCUCCACCAACUCCUUCCCGCCUGCGUCUCCGGCACCACCAGGUGGCGCCUCUGACACCACCCUCCAGUCUGGCUGUGAAGGCCCAGCUCUAAAUCUGGGGCUGGGGACCUGUUGUGGGCAUGGCGCGAAGCUCCUCAGGCCCUCUGGACGCGUCUGGGGGACGUGGGAGGUGCAGCCUUUGGAAGGUCCUGGCUCUCCCUGGGGCUUGCCCACGUCCCUCCACCCCGACUCCAAUAAAGCCUGCUGUUGCCUCUGG
Lagenorhynchus albirostris (white-beaked dolphin) is the source of this 2248-nucleotide long non-coding RNA. RefSeq lists it as uncharacterized. The transcript is spliced from 3 exons. The record is from RefSeq and is a predicted model, not a curated record. Lineage: Eukaryota; Metazoa; Chordata; Mammalia; Artiodactyla; Delphinidae.